This 465-nucleotide ribosomal RNA is filed under the name uncultured bacterium. Its description in RNAcentral is "partial 16S ribosomal RNA". It matches the Rfam family "Bacterial small subunit ribosomal RNA", at positions 28 to 507 of the family's 1533-position model. The record is from RNAcentral.
GACGAACGCUGGCGGCGUGCUUAACACAUGCAAGUCGAACGGAAAGGCCCUGCUUGCAGGGUACUCGAGUGGCGAACGGGUGAGUAACACGUGGGUGAUCUGCCCUGCACUUCGGGAUAAGCCUGGGAAACUGGGUCUAAUACCGGAUAGGAGCCAUUUUUAGUGUGAUGGUUGGAAAGUUUUUUCGGUGUAGGAUGAGCUCGCGGCCUAUCAGCUUGUUGGUGGGGUAAUGGCCUACCAAGGCGGCGACGGGUAGCCGGCCUGAGAGGGUGGACGGCCACAUUGGGACUGAGAUACGGCCCAGACGCCUACGGUAGGCAGCAGUGGGGAAUAUUGCACAAUGGGCGCAAGCCUGAUGCAGCGACGCCGCGUGGGGGAUGACGGCCUUCGGGUUGUAAACUCCUUUCGCUAGGGACGAAGCUUUUUGUGACGGUACCUAGAUAAGAAGCACCGGCUAACUACGUG